RNAcentral lists this ribosomal RNA (1104 nucleotides) under Triticum aestivum (bread wheat). Its description in RNAcentral is "partial small subunit ribosomal RNA". Lineage: Eukaryota; Viridiplantae; Streptophyta; Magnoliopsida; Poales; Poaceae. The record is from RNAcentral.
AUGAUAGUAUAUAGCACGAACCUUCCUUCCUCGAGCUCCCCCCUGCCCUCGCCUCGCUGCCCCAUAUCACUGGCUGGCUACUCUGGCGGCGUCGUGCUAGAGCGGGAGAGUGUUCCGGUGUACCACGUGCUCGUGCUUGGAACGCCGUACGUGUCCAUGGAGAUGGAGACCCCGUUGGCGCAGGUGAUGGAUGGCCUGAUCAAGGGGCGGGAGUUUGCGACGCAGCUGCAGGGCCUCCUCCGGGACUCCCCCAAGGCCGGCCUCAUCAUGGACCAGAUCCUCCACGCCUUCUCCCGGGCCAUGCACGCCGCCAAGGCUGCGGCCGCUGCCACGGCUGCUACCAGCGGUAGUGAGAGGUCCUCGGACGUGCAUAGCGAGGUCACCGAUGGUGCGAGCGGCGGCCGGAAGAGGAAGUCCGCCGCCGCCGGAGGAAACCGCAAGGCCUGUCGGAGAAGGACCCAGCAGUCGUCCGUCGUCACGAAGAGUGUGAAGAGCUUGGACGACGGGCAGGCAUGGCGCAAGUACGGGCAGAAGGAGAUACACAACUCCAAGCACUCGAGGGCCUACUUCCGGUGCACGCACAAGUACGACCAGCUGUGCGCGGCGCAGCGGCAGGUCCAGCGCUGCGACGACGACGAGGGCAUGUUCAGGGUCACCUACAUCGGCGUGCACACCUGCCGGGACCCCGCCGCCGCCGCUGUGGCGUCGCACAUGCUCCACCUCACCGGCGCCGCCGAAGGCCUGCACGCCGGCUGCCACCUCAUCAGCUUCGCGCCCGGCAGCUCCACCGCCGCCGCUCCCAGCACGACCACGACGACGAUGACCUUGAACGCCAAGCUGGUCGACGAAGACGCCGCGACGGGGUCCGGCCUGCAGGGCAUGAAGCCUGAGAGCGGCGACCAGGAGGAGGUGCUGAGCAGCCGCACCCCCGGGAACUCUGCCCAGCACAGCACCGCCGCGGCGGCGACGGCGACGGCUCCUGCUUGGCCCGACCAGGGAGACGUGACGUCCACCCGGCAAUACUGUGGCGCCGUUAACUUUGGAGAGUACCUUGAUGACUACACGUCCCUCGGGGACCUAGUGUCCUACGUCCUCGAUCAUUGA